AAUUAAGUACCAAGAUGUCCCUAGGGUGCUCAGCACAGCUUUUAGCACAUAAUAUUCUGUUGCUCACCUUAAUUUAAUUUGUUUUGAACCAAAAUUCUUUUUCUUUUUAAGCCUAUUAUUCUUUUUUGUAUUUUUAAUAUUUAUUUUAUUUUUACUUAUGUGAUGUGUGUGUGCGUAGAGGAGCCUGAGAAGGCCAGAAGAUCCCAUUGGGUUCCCUGCAGCAUGAGUUAAAGAGGCAGUUGUGAGCUACCAGAGCAGAGGUGUGGCUCCUCCGGAAGAGCAGCGAGUGCUCGUAACCAAGUCAUCUCCAGCCCACGUCCAUUCUUCCUUACAGAAUUACUAUGCUAACGGUUACUCUUAAAUUACUUCAGCUCAUGCUGGCAAUUACCUUUUGGUCUUAAGAAUUUGUGUGGUGCUGAAAAGGUGACUCGGCAGUUAGAGCACUAGCUGCCCUCCCAGAGGUUCAAUUCCCAGAAUUCACAUGUGGCUCACAACAUCGAGAACUCCGGUACCAGGGACUCUGAAAUCCUCUUCUCAGCUCUUGGGGCACCGGGUGUGCACAAGGUGCACAGACAUACAUGCAAGCAAAACGCACCCCGUAAAAGGUUUUACGAUUUGGUUUUUACAUUUCAUUUAAUAUUUUGUGCGUGGGGGGUGUGGAUAUGGAUGUGCAUUUGAGGUCAGAGGACAGCUUCUCUCCUUCCUCCUCGUGCGUCCAGUGGACGGCGCUCCGGCCCUCAUCCUUGACCCAUAAGCUCGUUACUCAGCGAGACAUCUUCCAGCCCUACCCCGACCUCUGUGUGCUACACGCACGGAUAUAAAUGUAAACAGAUUCAGUAUUGGCUACAUUAUAUGCGUGUUUUGCUUGCAUGUCUGUCUGUGCUUCACAUGUGUGCACAUCCGUGGGAGCCAGAAGAAGGUGUCAGAGCCGCUGUACUUGAAGCCUACAGACAGUUGUUGGCAGCUGCGUGGGUGCGUGGGUUGAACCUGGGCGCACACAGGAGCACAGCACUCCUCACCUCUGAGCUGUCUCUCUAGCUCAUUGACUGUAUCUUAAUGAUAACGUACGCCACGGUCUUACGUUCAGUAUCUUUUCCCAAAGACUUUUGUUGCUGGUUGUAAUAAUAACCUUUCUCUAGAACCUGUUAUUUUCCUUGCAAGUACCCUAGACAAAAGAUAGAAGCGGGCAGAGGAUGAGAGGAAACAAUAGUUUUCCCCUCUAAAUUGCCUGCUGUGGAUUUUCAGGAAGGCAGACAUCACGUAAAUAAGGCACAGCUACUGGGCCAUCGAGAACUGAGGAGUGACACCGAGGAGUCGGCCAGCCCAGGCCUUCAGUAGAGGGGCAUAGCUAGCUUUUCUUUAGGGAAUCCCCUCCACUCCAGAGCUAAGAAGGGUGGCCUGCCGCUCCUUCCUUUUCCUCUUUCUACACAUUGUGCUUUUAUUACUUUGGAUCUCACACCCGCCCCCUGCCCCCGGAUUUGGGGGCAAGAGGACUAUUUGCUUAGAGACUUCUGUUUGUUAAGUCCUGUCUUCCAAGUCAGAAGCCUGUCGUGUUGGUGAAGGUAAGGGUACUGCCCCCCCUCCCCCGAGCUCGCCGCCGGUGACCACAGCUGGAUGAGCGAGGGUCUGAGCACAGGAGAGAGCUUCAGGCUUUCACAGUCUUCUCUUUACAGGCUUUGUGCUUGGAGCUUUUGAAAAACAGUGGGUUUGCUAUUGAGAAGAAUACUGGGUGCUUUUGUGAGGCCAGUCUUUCCCUUGCAGAGGCAGCUGUAGUGUUAAUAAAGUUGUUGAUAGUCCACAUUCUCCAUGAGGAAUACAUUUGGGGCAGGGCUUCCUUUUCUUACAAGGUUGUAACGUUUGUAAGGUCACGGAUGAUAGUUCUCGUUCUUAGGUCCCAGUAGAGCACCUGGCACUCACCGUCACCUACUAUAGUUCUAUUAAAAGAAAAUUCUGCUGGCCCGAAACAUAGGGAAAAGUUAAGUUUCUUAGUACUUAACACCCUCUUAGUACUUAACACACAGUUUCAGCAGCCUUAGCUGUCUAUGUUUCUAUUCAUACAGGCUGUCACAGCGUAGGGAAAGCCAGGACUUCUCCUUUAUGGCUAAGAUCAGCCAUUUUCCUUACAAGUUUAUAGGAAAAUGUCCCAGUAUCCGUAGUUUAAAAAGAUAGUGACAUUGAUAUUUCAGAAAAUGAGUUCUUAGUUGAAUGUAAAAUAAUGAUUUAAUUGGUUUCUUGAGUAUUCUUCCAAGAUAUUGUGUAAAAGUGGAGUUUGAAUAGAGUCCUGGCUGAGCAAAAGAAAGAUAGGUUUCCCUGCAGCCUAGGGUGUGCUGCGGAUUCUAUCCUUGGCAAACCUUCAGGCCCAGUGGGAAUAGCAUAGAGGAUGAUGGGAAGAAAUCGAGGAAGCAGCAAGAUAAGAUCACAUGACCUCUCUGAUCUCUCCUGGUACCAGGCAGGUAGCUGGUACACAGCGUAUACAUGCAGGCACAACACUCAUAUAUACAAAAUAAGUCUUAAAAAUGUAAUAAAUAGAAAUUUUUAAAUAAAGUAAAAGUUGAAAUAUAGCUGUAAGUAAAAUAUCUUUGUAAAAUGUUGGGAAUAUUAAGUCUGGGAAACUGGGACGUGUGUAUCAUUCUUAAGUUCUUUGGUUAAUAAAGCUUCAUUCUGAGUUGCAGUGUUGAUGUCACCACUGACUUAAGCCCCUUCUCUUAGUGAGGGAACUGUAAGAGGAAGCCGAACAGAAUAAACAAGCAGAAGGAGCUAGCUAAUGUGGAGAACCUUCAAUAGCUACGGCUUAGCGUUCUACAGGCUAUUUUAUACGCAGAACCUUAGACAAAUACUCCCUUCUAAGUAAGCGAUGUAAGCCUUGUUUUGUACGAAGUCCCUUGUGCCUGUCGCCUUCUGUACGACCAGGACAAUGCAAGCAGAUAGAAUGUGGCUUGUCUCAGAGGGAAAUAGUUUAAGUAUGAAGAAUGUUAUUUGAGGUUGUUACAUCUCUAACCAGAAUUGGGAAAUAAAAUAUCUGUGCUAUUUCCAGGCC
Molecule: long non-coding RNA, 3037 nt
Filed under: Mus musculus (house mouse)
Lineage: Eukaryota; Metazoa; Chordata; Mammalia; Rodentia; Muridae
Description: long non-coding RNA chr3:146016172-146019209
Source: RNAcentral